Molecule: long non-coding RNA, 2102 nt
Filed under: Heterocephalus glaber (naked mole-rat)
Lineage: Eukaryota; Metazoa; Chordata; Mammalia; Rodentia; Bathyergidae
Description: lncRNA (ENSHGLG00100035389.1)
Source: RNAcentral
CACUUUUCCUGCCCAGAUGCUGGACCCAUGAUUGUGGGGGACAGAAAUGGUGGGUUGGGCCCUGCAGGUGGCCUUACUUAGGCGCUGACACUGUGUAAAGUGAUACUAAUGGAGGCUGCCUACAAGGGACGGUGACAACUGACAGGAUUGUGUCUGCAUUUAUAUAAACCCUGCCUCUUGCUGAGGCUUUCAGUCCCUACUUGCAGAGCAAGGUACUGCUGAUUACUCUGCUUCCCCUCAUCCCACACUUGCCAGGACAUUUCGUUGGAAGACCAGGUCCAUUUCCAUAGGCUGGAUGCUGGCUUUUCCUCUCAACAUUGGUGCCUCCCCAUCAGCCCCAUCUUGCCUUCCUCAUUCACCAGUGUGCUUUGGCAGCCACGGACCAUUUCUCCUGCCACCAUCCUGAAAUCCCUUCUUUCAGCAUCAGUGCUACCAUGGAAUGCUACAGCUGCUUAGAUUUCCCACUGCCACCUACGGUCUGAGGUCAGAGCACCUGCAAAGGAGAGGAUGGAGAGAACAUUGUGGGCUUCUGCCGCUGUAAGUACAACUCUGAGCCAAGAACGGUUCCAAGUGCUCAGAGGGCCAUGUUCCACUCACUGUGAAUAUAGCUCAUAGGCGUCUUUGAUGAUGAUGGCCAGGAAGCUGGCAGAGUGCUUUUUGAAGAGGCCACCAGCUCUCAGGGGUCUGUUGGAUGUGUAUUCGUUCAGCAGCCACCCAUUGAGGACCUACUAUGUGCUGUGCCUGACCACAUGUGCUGCAAAAUUCCUGGCUGGAAUAGGAGCCAGGAAAACAUAGAGAGGUAGGGUCCAGUCCUUUCCAAUCAAAACAAAUCCUGAAAGAGUGUUUGAGGAACCAGUUAAUGUGGAGUUGGAGAGAGCAUGGUCCAAAAUGGUGGUUUUUCCAGUUGUGUUUUGAGGGGCCAGAGAGCCCUGUUCUGCCCCUGCAGAGCUGUUAGAGGAGGGAGAAACACAGCUUUCAUGCCUGCUCCAGUCAAAGUGGCUCAUUUUGUCAGUUUCAUGUAUUAGCAUUCUUAGUAGAAUUUCAUUUAGAGAAAGAAGAGGUCUAGGGAAAGUAACAAAAAUUUUAUUGAGCAGUGUGCUCUGAGGCCUGUGUUUAGUUUUUAACUCUGGAUAUGAGAGACUUAAUGAGCUCUAACCUGGGGACUGGGUUAGCACUGAAUUUCUGGGGCCCAAGGAUAAAACCUUAGUUUUAUACAUUGACUAACCAACCUGGCGGUUUGCCUGGGCCAACCCUUGUUUACAUCUGUGGUCUUUUAGGGUAAUUAAUACUAGUGCUGCCUUAACUCUCAAAAGUAUCACAGUUUGUGUAAUAAAUUACAUGAGCACCCUGUGUGUGAGGACAGAGCUAAGUGAAUGGUUGCCCGCCUUGCCUGAUAAGCUGAUUAACCAGAAUGAGGGCCUGAAUCUAUUGGGGCCCUCACCAGAGAACGAAGGAACAAGGUCAUUCAAGGUUACCAGCAUCCAAGGCCACCAUCUUCAUUACAUUGUGAAACUCUGAAAAUAGAUCAGGACCAAAUACUUUCCAGGCUUUGACCACUGUCACCUGGAACCACCAACACACAAGCCAACUGGUAUAUUUUUGUUUUACCCGUUAUAUUUGGACCUAUAAUUAGCUCUCUCAUUGCCUUUCAAUUCCUCUUUCAUUCUCUUCUUUUAAAAAUUUGAUUCCCCAUUGGCCAUGAGACUGAAGCUAACCUCUCAUAAACCCAAAGAGUAACAGGUAUAUUGGUAUAUGAUUAACCACAUGAAAAGGCUCAAUGUGCAUACUGUAUUUAUUAAGCCCUGAAGGCAUUUAAUAAAAUACUAACAUUGUGUUUUGAAUUAUGAUCUUUGUCUGCUUUGCUAGAGCAAAAUGUAACAGAACUAACAUUUAAAAUCCUUUGCAUAUUUUGGACAACAUUACACCAAAUGUUGAUUUUGUACAGAAUUCUGGCUUUCUAUUUAAAAAGUAAAACUCCAAGUAUAUAGCAAACCAAGUUGUGAAUAUUACUUUGUGCUUUAGUGAAAAGGCAGCUUACCUGAAAGUAUCAUGUUGUAACCUAUAUUUUGUUAAUUUAAGCAAAUAAAGACAUGUUGAAAAAA